This 304-nucleotide long non-coding RNA is filed under the name Setaria viridis. RNAcentral's name for it is "long non-coding RNA (SVIR_LNC006777)". Lineage: Eukaryota; Viridiplantae; Streptophyta; Magnoliopsida; Poales; Poaceae. The record is from RNAcentral.
UCAUGUAUAUGCCACCACCAUAUGCUAAACUUCUACACUGGAAGUUAGCAAUCAUAUCAUUUCAUCCAUCCACAAAAUAAAGCUUCAAGUUUGUCUAUGACCUCUCUCUCCAAAGUAUCCUUGCAAAAGAGACUUGAGCUAUGCAAAAAGAAAAUAAAGUACAUCCUCAUGAAAGCACGAUGAAAAAAAAGAGAGAAAAGAUAGCCCACGUCUCCAAAGAAAGAAAGCAAGGAGAGUGGAAAACAAGGAGAGAGAAGGAUCAUACAAAAAGGAGUCCAUACACCAUCCACCAUAUUCACCAUCC